This 632-nucleotide long non-coding RNA is filed under the name Oryza brachyantha (malo sina). RNAcentral describes it as "long non-coding RNA (OBRA_LNC001085)". Lineage: Eukaryota; Viridiplantae; Streptophyta; Magnoliopsida; Poales; Poaceae. The record is from RNAcentral.
UUCUUCCUUUCCCGUUGGAGGCAGAGCGGCUGUGUGCGGCGGCGGGAGUUGGCGGGGGCGGCUGCGCGAGUCCAGGCGGCGGGCACCGGCCACGCGAGUGCGCGUGAGGCGACGGGCGGCNNNNNNNNNNGGCGCCAGCCGCACGAGUGGGCGCGAGGUGACGGGUGGCGGGGGCUACGGGCGGCGGGUGGCAGCCGCGCGAGUGGGCGUGAGGAGGGCGCCUCUGCAUUGCGGCGCGACAACCAUGCCUCUGUCAUCUGGCACUUCCCCACGCAUGUGACGUUUCGUCAGGCCAAAACCAAUCAUUUCUUCCCAUUGAUCGAUGCUCCCAAUCUUGCUUGCUAGAUGCUCUUUAUUUACUAUCUAUGUAUUUAUGAAUUGCUAUUAUCGAUUGAUUGAUGGGAAGCCAACACUUUGUGUUGUGUUUGAUUACCGAAUUAAUUAGCGUUAAACCUGUGCAUCCAACAUGGGUUACCAAUUUUUUUCCCAGUGAUGAUUGGCGGAUGUAGUUGUACUCCUCUAGCCUCCACAUGUUUUUGUAUGAUAUAUUGCAGUGCAGUUGAAUUAUAUAAGGAACUCCUGUUAUCUGUUUGGCUACUUCUUAUAUAGCUGAUGUUAGAAUGUUACCAAGG